CUCCCAUUAAGAAUGUAAUGCUAAUACAUGUGGAAAUGGGAAAUGUGGUUUCACAACAGGCCCGGGGCGGGGUGGGAUUCAAACGGCAUAAAGAAUCAAACAUGCUGCAACUGCACCAAACGUUACAUUCGCUGGGUGUCAACGGAGUUGUUUCCAUGUACUGUAAACGGGUGAGGCGGAUGAGGGUUACAGACGCAUUGCCUCACCCGAAGCCCAAGGCUAAGCUGCAAUGAGUUGGAAUGAGCCCAGAGAGGGAGGAAUCUCAACUACUGGGACACUCCUCCAGUUCAAACAUACACUUUUCCUUCAGGGCGGUGGGGCUGUUUUUUUUUUUUUUUAGGCAUAUGACCUGUUUCUAGUGUCUGUUUUCCCAUCAUGUCACAUUACUCGUUUUAAACCUAUAGACUAACACACUUCAUUUGAGGUUUGAUAGUGAGUUUAUUAAAAAAAAGGGAGAAAGAAAAAAAAAGGACUGGCUGAUUCAUUCCUGUGUAAU
This is a long non-coding RNA of Gasterosteus aculeatus aculeatus (three-spined stickleback), 496 nucleotides long. The record is from Ensembl. Lineage: Eukaryota; Metazoa; Chordata; Actinopteri; Perciformes; Gasterosteidae.